GUCCUUGUCGAUUAGUGGUUAGAUCAUCACGUUGUGGUUACACAAAACCGUGAAGACGGAGGCUCGAAUCCUCCCUGGGACA
Molecule: non-coding RNA, 82 nt
Organism: Pleurotus ostreatoroseus
Lineage: Eukaryota; Fungi; Basidiomycota; Agaricomycetes; Agaricales; Pleurotaceae
Source: the annotation of a GenBank genome assembly